UGUGUAGUGUGUAUACAGCCCCGUGUCCUGUCCUGCACAGCUGAAAUGUCACACUGCCGUCGCUAGGCCCAGCAGCUGAAGAGAAAGUGUGUGUGUGUGUGUUCAGGACUUUCCGGGGGCAGUUAAGAUAAGCAAGUCUGGCUGAGGAAGCAGCAAGCAGACGUAGUGUUAGAAGACGUCCUCACCUGCAACACACACACAACUGUUUGUGUCUCUAGGUGUUGUUGACCAGAGGUACAGCUACAGGCCUGUCCCUCAGCAGCACUAGUCAUGUCCUCUCUGCUGCGCUGUGUCUCCUGCUGCGGAUCCACUGUCACCUUGCUCCAGCAAGGUGUUCGCCACCACACACCUGGCCGACGGGCCUUCAGGACCUUCCCACAGCUCUGGAACUGUGAGCCUGCUAAAGGACGGCUGUAUAAGGACCUGGUGGUAGGAGUUCCUAAGGAGAUCUUUAAGAAUGAGCGUCGUGUGGCUGUGUCCCCUGCGGGGGUGGAGCUGCUCGUCAAACAGGGCUUCAACGUCCAGGUGGAGUCUGGAGCAGGAGACCACGCUAAGUUCUCUGACCAAAUGUACAUAAACGCUGGGGCCUCCAUCACAGACACUAACGGGGCCUUCGGAUCUGACCUGGUCCUCAAGGUGAGAGCUCCAGUGUUGAACGAGGCUACUGGCAAACAUGAGUCAGAGCUGCUGAAGCCUAAAUCCACCCUGGUGAGCUUCAUCUACCCAGCCCAGAAUCCUGAUCUCAUGGAGAAGCUGGCCCAGAGUCAGACCACCGUGCUGGCCAUGGAUCAGGUCCCGCGAGUCACCAUCGCACAGGGCUACGACGCACUCAGCUCCAUGGCUAACAUUGCAGGGUACAAGGCUGUUGUUCUGGCUGCUAACCACUUUGGCAGAUUCUUCACCGGCCAGAUCACAGCAGCAGGGAAAGUCCCCCCAGCCAAGGUCCUGGUCAUCGGAGGUGGAGUGGCUGGUUUGGCUGCAGCUGGAGCCGCCAAGUCUAUGGGAGCGAUCGUCAGAGGCUUUGAUACCCGACCAGCAGCUCUGGAACAGUUUAAGUCGUUCGGGGCGGAGCCUUUGGAGGUGCACAUUAAGGAGUCCGGGGAUGGUGUUGGAGGUUACGCCAAGGAGAUGUCCCCAGAGUUCAUUGCAGCUGAGAUGGAGUUGUUUGCCAAGCAGUGUAAAGACGUGGACAUCCUCAUCAGUACUGCUCUCAUCCCAGGGAAGCGAGCUCCCAUCCUGAUCAAGACAGAGAUGGUGGAGUCUAUGAAGGAUGGCUCUGUGGUGGUGGACCUGGCUGCUGAGGCUGGAGGAAACAUUGAGACCACCAAGCCUGGAGAGCUGCACGUACACAAGGGUGUGACACACAUCGGCUUCACGGACCUGCCCAGCCGCAUGCCCACCCAGGCCAGCACCCUGUACUCCAACAACGUGCUCAAACUGCUCAAGGCCAUCAGCCCAGACAAAGACUACUUCCACUUUGAGCCCAAAGAAGAGUUUGAUCACGGGACACUGGACCACGUCAUCAGAGGAACCAUGGUCAUGCAGGAAGGCAAGAGCCUGUUCCCAUCCCCCCAACCUAAGACACAACCCCCGGCCGCUCCAGUCAAACAGAGAAGUGUAGCAGAGCUAGCGGCAGAGAAGGCAGCCGUGGUCUCACCUUUCCAGAAGACCUUGACCAACGCUGGUGUCUACACCGCAGGUCUCUCUACAUGUCUGGCGCUGGGCUUGGCGGCGCCCAACUCAGCCUUUACCCAGAUGGUCACUACUUUCGGCCUGGCCGGCAUCGUGGGGUACCACACGGUGUGGGGCGUCACCCCCGCCCUCCACUCACCCCUCAUGUCCGUCACCAAUGCCAUCUCAGGUCUGACUGCUGUGGGUGGUCUGGUCCUGAUGGGGGAGGUCUCCACCCCUCCUCCUUCCCCGAGGGCCUGGCUCUGGCUGCAGCCUUCGUCUCCUCCAUCAACAUCGCAGGUGGGUUCAUGAUCACCCAGAGGAUGCUGGACAUGUUUAAACGUCCUACAGACCCUCCAGAGUACAACUACCUGUACGGUCUACCAAUAGGAGUCUUCAUAGGAGGUUACGGGGCCUCUGUGGCUGCUGGCUACCACAUCGAGCAGAUGAUGUACCUGGGGUCUGGUAUGUGCUGUGUGGGAGCAUUGGCAGGGCUGUCUUCACAGGGCACUAGUCGUCUGGGUAAUGCCCUGGGCAUGAUGGGGGUAGCAGGGGCAUCGCUGCCACCCUGGGCUCCCUGAAGCCCUCUCCUGAGCUGCUGGCACAGAUGAGUGCCGCCAUGGCCACCGGAGGAACCCUGGGUCUGACCAUUGCCAAGCGUAUUGAGAUCACCGAUCUCCCCCAGCUGGUAGCUGCCUUCCACAGCCUGGUGGGUCUGGCUGCAGUGCUGACCUGUGUGGCAGAGUACAUGAUCGAGUACCCUCACUUGGACGUACACCCUGCAGCCAACAUGGUGAAGACUGUGGCCUACCUCGGCACAUACAUCGGAGGGGUCACCUUCAGCGGGUCACUGGUGGCCUAUGGCAAGCUGCAAGGUGUUCUGAACUCCGCCCCGCUGAUGUUGCCGGGGCGUCACAUGAUGAACGCCGGUCUGAUGACUGCGUCUGUCGGUGGUAUGAUUCCCUUCAUGCUCAGUGCUGACUACGCUACUGGCAUGGGCUGUCUGGUUGGAGUGUCUGGCCUCUCCACCGUCAUGGGUGUAACCCUGACGAUGGCCAUCGGGGGCGCUGACAUGCCAGUGGUCAUCACUGUGCUCAAUUCCUACUCUGGUUGGGCGCUGUGUGCCGAGGGAUUCCUAUUGGACAACAACCUCAUGACCAUUGUAGGAGCUCUGAUUGGCUCGUCUGGUGCUAUCCUCUCCUACAUCAUGUGUGUGGCAAUGAACCGUUCCCUGCCCAACGUGAUCCUGGGAGGGUUCGGUACCAGCUCCACGGCGGGGGGGAAACCCAUGGAGAUCACAGGCACCCACACAGAGGUCAAUGUGGACCAGUCCAUCGAACUCAUCAAAGAGGCCAACAGCAUCAUAAUCACCCCAGGUUGGGGUCUGUGUGCGGCUAAGGCCCAGUACCCCAUUGCUGACAUGGUGAAGAUGCUGGUAGAGCAGGGCAAGUCUGUCAGGUUUGGUAUCCACCCUGUGGCAGGUCGUAUGCCAGGCCAGCUAAACGUGCUCCUGGCUGAGGCAGGUGUUCCAUACGACGUGGUUCUGGAGAUGGAUGAGAUCAAUGAGGACUUCAAAGAGACUGACCUGACGCUGGUGGUGGGUGCUAACGACACAGUGAACUCAGCAGCCCAGGAGGACCCCAACUCUAUCAUUGCUGGCAUGCCAGUCCUGGAGGUCUGGAAGUCCAAACAGGUGAUUGUGAUGAAGAGGACCAUGGGUGUGGGCUAUGCUGCAGUAGACAAUCCCAUCUUCUACAAGCCCAACACAUCCAUGCUGCUGGGAGACGCCAAGAAGACCUGUGACACACUACAGGCCAAGAUCAGAGAGGCCUACUACUAGAACAGAGAUGGACAGUACACACACACUCCCUAUCGGCUUUACGGAACUAUUUAUUUGUCUUCAAUCCAGAUGCAGGUGUAUGGUUAAGAUUAGUAAACAACGUUGAAUAUUUUUACACUUAGUGGCUUGAUGAUUAUAGAGGUCCUCAGUACAUAUGAUUAUUGGAUGUUGGGCAGUGAUGUUGAACCAAAGGUGUGGACACGAUGAUUAGAUUACAUUUAAAUUAACCCAUGCACUGCCUGCCCUGAUUUGUAAAUAAAAAUCUGUUUUGAAUGUGA
This is an RNA transcript of Oncorhynchus gorbuscha (pink salmon), 3789 nucleotides long. It is a transcript of the gene named NAD(P) transhydrogenase, mitochondrial-like, with no coding region annotated. The record is from RefSeq and is a predicted model, not a curated record. The transcript is spliced from 22 exons. Lineage: Eukaryota; Metazoa; Chordata; Actinopteri; Salmoniformes; Salmonidae.